CAAUAGCGUAUAUUAAAGUUGUUGCAGUUAAAAAGCUCGUAGUUGGAUUUCUGGUGGGAGCGAUCGGUCUGGCGCUUAGCGCGAGUACUUGCAUCGUCUCCGGCCAUCCUUGGGGAGAGUCUGUCUGGCAUUAAGUUGUCGGGCAGAGGAUCCUCAUCGUUUACUGUGAAAAAAUUAGAGUGUUCAAAGCAGGCUUAUGCCGUUGAAUAUAUUAGCAUGGAAUAAUAAGAUAGGACUUUGGUACUAUUUUGUUGGUUUGCGCACCAAAGUAAUGAUCAAUAGGGACAGUUGGGGGUAUUCGUAUUCCGUUGUCAGAGGUGAAAUUCUUGGAUUUACGGAAGACGAACUACUGCGAAAGCAUUUACCAAGGAUGUUUUCAUUAA
Molecule: ribosomal RNA, 383 nt
Filed under: uncultured eukaryote
Lineage: Eukaryota
Description: partial 18S ribosomal RNA
Rfam family: Eukaryotic small subunit ribosomal RNA
Source: RNAcentral